Molecule: ribosomal RNA, 253 nt
Filed under: uncultured bacterium
Lineage: Bacteria
Description: partial 16S ribosomal RNA
Rfam family: Bacterial small subunit ribosomal RNA
Source: RNAcentral
UACAGAGGGUGCAAGCGUUAAUCGGAAUUACUGGGCGUAAAGCGUGCGUAGACGGUUACAUAAGUCGGGUGUGAAAGCCCCGGGCUCAACCUGGGAAUUGCAUUCGAGACUGCGUAGCUAGGGUGCGGAAGAGGGAAGCGGAAUCUCCGGUGUAGCGGUGAAAUGCGUAGAUAUCGGAAGGAACACCAGUGGCGAAAGCGGCUUCCUGGUCCAGCACCGACGUUCAGGCACGAAAGCGUGGGGAGCAAACAGG